CACUGGAUAGCUCAGUCGGGUAGAGCAACGGAUUUGGAAUCCGUGUGUCGUGGGUUCGACUCCCACUCCACAAA
RNAcentral lists this transfer RNA (74 nucleotides) under Burkholderiales bacterium PBB2. RNAcentral's name for it is "tRNA-Pro". It matches the Rfam family "tRNA". Rfam says of the family: Transfer RNA (tRNA) molecules are approximately 80 nucleotides in length. Their secondary structure includes four short double-helical elements and three loops (D, anti-codon, and T loops). RNAcentral also lists the same sequence under 1 other name. The record is from RNAcentral. Lineage: Bacteria; Pseudomonadati; Pseudomonadota; Betaproteobacteria; Burkholderiales.